This 253-nucleotide ribosomal RNA is filed under the name uncultured bacterium. Its description in RNAcentral is "partial 16S ribosomal RNA". It matches the Rfam family "Bacterial small subunit ribosomal RNA", at positions 524 to 776 of the family's 1533-position model. The record is from RNAcentral.
UACAGAGGGUGCGAGCGUUAAUCGGAAUUACUGGGCGUAAAGCGUGCGUAGACGGUUAUUUAAGUCGGAUGUGAAAGCCCCGGGCUCAACCUGGGAAUUGCAUUCGAGACUGAAUAGCUAGGGUACGGUAGAGGGAAGUGGAAUUUCCGGUGUAGCGGUGAAAUGCGUAGAUAUCGGAAGGAACAUCAGUGGCGAAAGCGCACAUCUGGCCCGAUACUGACGCUGAGGCGCGAAAGCUAGGGGAGCAAACGGG